This is a long non-coding RNA of Salvelinus sp. IW2-2015, 470 nucleotides long. RefSeq lists it as uncharacterized. NCBI's taxonomy places the organism in Eukaryota, Metazoa, Chordata, Actinopteri, Salmoniformes, Salmonidae. The transcript is spliced from 4 exons. The record is from RefSeq and is a predicted model, not a curated record.
CGGACAAGUGGUAACAAAGUAACACAGACCUGAAUGGUGAUGAGCCUUCCGGAUCGGACAAAUCUCAACCAUGUGAAACAGUCACUGAAUGGGUGUUACAGGGUAGAUCGGGACGAUUAUCAUGGCAAGCAACGCCUGUCAAAUGCAGGAGCAGGGCAGCAGUGGUUCGCUAUCAUCACUAGCACAGGUAGCAACAAGGAGCGCAAAAUCAGAGGACAGAAACUCAAACGAAGAUGUUUCUAAUGCACACAACAGGAGAGAGAUUACCCCCAGAAGACAGCCAUACAGAAAAGUGUCUUCAGAUCCAGCAGGUCCAAAAGUUGAAGAGAUAAAAGAAGAGGUAGCGCCUUGCAGUGUCCCACCAGGGCCCGGCAUGCCAGCCUCUAUUUAUCAGACAAACCAUGGCCAGUUCAGUAAGUCUCACUGGAAGGGACAUGUGUUUCAAAAAUAAAUAUGUUUAUUAAAAAAUC